RNAcentral lists this unclassified non-coding RNA (249 nucleotides) under uncultured Preussia. RNAcentral describes it as "sequence contains ITS2". The record is from RNAcentral. Lineage: Eukaryota; Fungi; Ascomycota; Dothideomycetes; Pleosporales; Sporormiaceae.
AACGCACAUUGCGCCCUUUGGUAUUCCUUAGGGCAUGCCUGUUCGAGCGUCAUCUAAACCUUCAAGCCCUGCUUGGUGUUGGGUGCCUGUCCCGCCUCCGCGCGUGGACUCACCUCAAAUCCAUUGGCGGCCCCCGCGUCGGCCACGAGCGCAGCAGAAACGCGAACUCGUGAGCCCGUCCGGGCGGCUCCCAGAAGCUAACCCCCAAUUUUUGACCUCGGAUCAGGUAGGGAUACCCGCUGAACUUAA